UCAUCCAUUACGCCAGCUGUGCCAGAAGAGGCUCGAGAGUGGAGCGGUACCCAGACGUUCGGUAUUGAUGCUUGUAAAGGUCCCGACACUGAAGUGGGGUGUGCUGCGUGGUGGGGCGCUGAGCGAUGGGGCGAGCAUGUGAGUGUUUACACGGUAGCCGCGUUGCCGACAGCACGAGAGUUACGGCGGUUGGAUGGAAACACACCGAGAUCAGUCACCCUGGUAACAGGGUUCGAGGGCGGCCACCGAAACCGUCGUAAAUGAAAUGUGGAAUCAGAUGCGUCGGUUCUUAACUUCAAAAAUAGGCACACUUGAUAUUUGUCGAUUACAGCGCCAUCCAUCACGAAUAAUAAACAAUGGUUUCAGUAAA
Molecule: long non-coding RNA, 370 nt
Organism: Schistocerca nitens (vagrant locust)
Lineage: Eukaryota; Metazoa; Arthropoda; Insecta; Orthoptera; Acrididae
Exons: 2
Source: RefSeq, a predicted model, not a curated record